RNAcentral lists this ribosomal RNA (686 nucleotides) under Brevundimonas vesicularis. Its description in RNAcentral is "bacterial SSU rRNA". It matches the Rfam family "Bacterial small subunit ribosomal RNA", at positions 8 to 740 of the family's 1533-position model. Lineage: Bacteria; Pseudomonadati; Pseudomonadota; Alphaproteobacteria; Caulobacterales; Caulobacteraceae. The record is from RNAcentral.
AGAGUUUGAUCCUGGCUCAGAGCGAACGCUGGCGGCAGGCCUAACACAUGCAAGUCGAGCGAACUCUUCGGAGUUAGUGGCGGACGGGUGAGUAACACGUGGGAACGUGCCUUUAGGUUCGGAAUAACUCAGGGAAACUUGUGCUAAUACCGAAUGUGCCCUUCGGGGGAAAGAUUUAUCGCCUUUAGAGCGGCCCGCGUCUGAUUAGCUAGUUGGUGAGGUAAUGGCUCACCAAGGCGACGAUCAGUAGCUGGUCUGAGAGGAUGAUCAGCCACAUUGGGACUGAGACACGGCCCAAACUCCUACGGGAGGCAGCAGUGGGGAAUCUUGCGCAAUGGGCGAAAGCCUGACGCAGCCAUGCCGCGUGAAUGAUGAAGGUCUUAGGAUUGUAAAAUUCUUUCACCGGGGACGAUAAUGACGGUACCCGGAGAAGAAGCCCCGGCUAACUUCGUGCCAGCAGCCGCGGUAAUACGAAGGGGGCUAGCGUUGCUCGGAAUUACUGGGCGUAAAGGGAGCGUAGGCGGACAUUUAAGUCAGGGGUGAAAUCCCGGGGCUCAACCUCGGAAUUGCCUUUGAUACUGGGUGUCUUGAGUAUGAGAGAGGUGUGUGGAACUCCGAGUGUAGAGGUGAAAUUCGUAGAUAUUCGGAAGAACACCAGUGGCGAAGGCGACACACUGGCUCAUUAC